CUGUACUGGAUUUAAGGCGAUUAAAUUCUGUGUUCACUUGAAUCACAACACUCGAUACCUUAACCGGUUAUGCUCUGGCCAUCUUCACCCAAGAGACCUACUGUUGGUCAAUUGUUUUGGCUUUAAAGGUAAAUGCAUUGUUAGUCACACUGUCUAGUCACUGGGCCAAAAGGAAAAUAAUAUUGAAAAGAGUUGAGAGGGACAAACAGGACAUUCACUUGAAUCACUACAUGCUACAGAAGUUGCAUCGAUUCCAGAAAACCAGGAAAAUGUUGAGCCAUCUGUAGACUUCAGAGCUGGUAUGUAAAAUGUAUUGCUGUGAUGCUUAAUUUGUGAUCCUGUAACUAAACUAUACACUUAGUUAGAUUUUCAAAUUUCUGUUCCCUCUUUCUCAGAACCAGGUUUCUCCCCAGUAAUCCAGACUCCACUUCACAGAGCCAAGAGUUUGAGUACAACUCGUCAAGUACUAAGCUUUACACCACCAGCAGCAAAUUUACACUGGCAGCAUAUGGGUGAAAACGCUGGAUGCAUGUAAUACGUUGC
Esox lucius (northern pike) is the source of this 543-nucleotide long non-coding RNA. The record is from Ensembl. Lineage: Eukaryota; Metazoa; Chordata; Actinopteri; Esociformes; Esocidae.